Molecule: ribosomal RNA, 433 nt
Filed under: uncultured bacterium
Lineage: Bacteria
Description: partial 16S ribosomal RNA
Rfam family: Bacterial small subunit ribosomal RNA
Source: RNAcentral
AGCGAACGCUGGCGGCAGGCCUAACACAUGCAAGUCGAACGAACCUUUCGGGGUUAGUGGCGGACGGGUGAGUAACACGUGGGAACGUGCCUUUAGGUUCGGAAUAACUCAGGGAAACUUGUGCUAAUACCGAAUGUGCCCUUCGGGGGAAAGAUUAAUCGCCUUUAGAGCGGCCCGCGUCUGAUUAGCUAGUUGGUUGAGGUAAUGGCUCACCAAGGCGACGAUCAGUAGCUGGUCUGAGAGGAUGAUCAGCCACAUUGGGACUGAGACACGGCCCAAACUCCUACGGGAGGCAGCAGUGGGGAAUCUUGCGCAAUGGGCGAAAGCCUGACGCAGCCAGGCCGCGUGAAUGAUGAAGGUCUUAGGAUUGUAAAAUUCUUUCACCGGGGACGAUAAGGACGGUACCCGGAGAAGAAGCCCCGGCUAACUUCGU